UGGGGAAUAUUGGACAAUGGGGGAAACCCUGAUCCAGCGAUGCCGCGUGGGUGAAGAAGGCCUUCGGGUUGUAAAGCCCUUUAGGUUGGGAAGAAAGCUUAGCGAAGAUAACGCGUUAAGUGUGACGGUACCAACAGAAUAAGCACCGGCAAACUCUGUGCCAGCAGCCGCGGUAAUACAGAGGGUGCGAGCGUUAAUCGGAUUUACUGGGCGUAAAGGGUGCGUAGGCGGUUGGAUGAGUGUGAUGUGAAAGCCCUGGGCUUAACCUAGGAAGUGCAUCGCAAACGAUUCAACUAGAGUAUAGGAGAGGGUGGUGGAAUUUCCGGUGUAGCGGUGAAAUGCGUAGAGAUCGGAAGGAACGUCAAUGGCGAAAGCAGCCACCUGGCCUAAAACUGACGCU
RNAcentral lists this ribosomal RNA (400 nucleotides) under uncultured bacterium. RNAcentral describes it as "bacterial SSU rRNA". It matches the Rfam family "Bacterial small subunit ribosomal RNA", at positions 355 to 747 of the family's 1533-position model. The record is from RNAcentral.